GAUUUCUGGGCAUCAGUUUCUGGCCGGCCACGGUUUCGUGUGUUAGUGCUUGAAGCUUUGUCCAUCCUUCCAAUUGCUAGUCACUUUUCUUCAUUGAAUGGUGAUUAGUAUUGGAUCUUUUACUUUGAAAAAAUUAGAGUGUUUCAAGCAGGCUUUAUGCUAUGAAUACAUUAGCAUGGAAUAAUAAUUUAGGACUUCGGUUCUAUUUUGUUGGUUUCUAGGACUGAAGUAAUGAUUGAUAGGGAUAGUUGGGGGUGCUAGUAUUCAGCGGCCAGAGGUGAAAUUCUCGGAUUCGCUGAAGACUAACUUAUGCGAAAGCAUU
Molecule: ribosomal RNA, 322 nt
Filed under: uncultured Tremula
Lineage: Eukaryota; Cercozoa
Description: bacterial SSU rRNA
Rfam family: Eukaryotic small subunit ribosomal RNA (bases 112-322)
Source: RNAcentral